Molecule: ribosomal RNA, 220 nt
Filed under: uncultured bacterium
Lineage: Bacteria
Description: partial 16S ribosomal RNA
Rfam family: Bacterial small subunit ribosomal RNA
Source: RNAcentral
AUUCUCAGUUCGGAUUGUAGGCUGAAACUCGCCUACAUGAAGCUGGAGUUACUAGUAAUCGCAGAUCAGAAUGCUGCGGUGAAUGCGUUCCCCGGGUCUUGUACACACCGCCCGUCACACCACGGAAGUUGGGGGCGCCCGAAGCCACUUAGCUAACCCUUUUGGGAAGCGAGUGUCGAAGGUGAAAUCAAUAACUGGGGUGAAGUCGUAACAAGGUACC